RNAcentral lists this ribosomal RNA (253 nucleotides) under uncultured bacterium. RNAcentral's name for it is "partial 16S ribosomal RNA". It matches the Rfam family "Bacterial small subunit ribosomal RNA", at positions 524 to 776 of the family's 1533-position model. The record is from RNAcentral.
UACAGAGACUGCAAGCGUUAUUCGGAUUCACUGGGCGUAAAGGGUGCGCAGGCGGCCGUGUGUGUCAGGUGUGAAAGCCCGGAGCUUAACUCCGGAAUUGCGCCUGAAACUACAUGGCUAGAGCAUUGGAGAGGGUAGCGGAAUUCACGGUGUAGCAGUGAAAUGCGUAGAUAUCGUGAGGAACACCAGAGGCGAAGGCGGCUACCUGGACAAUUGCUGACGCUCAGGCACGAAAGCGUGGGGAGCAAACGGG